AGGCAUAUGUAUUAGAAAACCAAAAAAAAA
Molecule: small RNA, 30 nt
Filed under: Arabidopsis thaliana (thale cress)
Lineage: Eukaryota; Viridiplantae; Streptophyta; Magnoliopsida; Brassicales; Brassicaceae
Description: ATSL018130
Source: RNAcentral